Molecule: regulatory RNA element, 425 nt
Organism: Oceanobacillus oncorhynchi
Lineage: Bacteria; Bacillati; Bacillota; Bacilli; Caryophanales; Bacillaceae
Rfam family: cspA thermoregulator
Source: Rfam
AGCAGGUUUAGAAACUUUUUUCCUAAAAAGGUUGGCUUUUAUCAUUGUAGAUGCUAUAAUAAGGAUACUUAUUUAGAUUCGGUAGAAAUACAGGAUGGGAUACAUCUUUCGUCUUGAAAUUUAACUUUGAACUAAAUAGUAAUAAACAGUGCAACAAUUGCACGUGGAGGUAAAAGAAUGAACACAGGUUCUGUAAAAUGGUUUAACGCUGAAAAAGGCUUCGGUUUCAUCGAAGUUGAAGGUGGAGACGAUGUAUUCGUACAUUUCUCUGCAAUCCAAGGCGAAGGUUUCAAAACUUUAGAAGAAGGUCAAACAGUUACUUUCGAUAUCGAAGAAGGAAACCGCGGACCACAAGCUGCUAACGUUGUUAAAAACUAAUAAGCAGAUAAUCGAAAAAAGCUGAUCAUCAUUGAUCAGCUUUUUUU